UACGGAGGGAGCUAGCGUUGUUCGGAAUUACUGGGCGUAAAGCGUGCGCAGGCGGUUCGCUAAGACAGAUGUGAAAUCCCCGGGCUUAACCUGGGAAUGGCAUUUGGGACUGCAAGGCUGGAGUGCGGCAGAGGAGACUGGAAUUCCUGGUGUAGCAGUGAAAUGCGUAGAUAUCAGGAGGAACACCGAUGGCGAAGGCAGGUCUCUGGGCUGACACUGACGCUCAUGCACGAAAGCGUGGGGAGCAAACAGG
RNAcentral lists this ribosomal RNA (253 nucleotides) under uncultured bacterium. RNAcentral's name for it is "partial 16S ribosomal RNA". It matches the Rfam family "Bacterial small subunit ribosomal RNA", at positions 524 to 776 of the family's 1533-position model. The record is from RNAcentral.